RNAcentral lists this ribosomal RNA (659 nucleotides) under uncultured Enterobacter sp. RNAcentral describes it as "bacterial SSU rRNA". It matches the Rfam family "Bacterial small subunit ribosomal RNA", at positions 67 to 715 of the family's 1533-position model. Lineage: Bacteria; Pseudomonadati; Pseudomonadota; Gammaproteobacteria; Enterobacterales; Enterobacteriaceae. The record is from RNAcentral.
CGGUAACAGGAAGCAGCUUGCUGCUUUGCUGACGAGUGGCGGACGGGUGAGUAAUGUCUGGGAAACUGCCUGAUGGAGGGGGAUAACUACUGGAAACGGUAGCUAAUACCGCAUAACGUCGCAAGACCAAAGAGGGGGACCUUCGGGCCUCUUGCCAUCGGAUGUGCCCAGAUGGGAUUAGCUAGUAGGUGGGGUAACGGCUCACCUAGGCGACGAUCCCUAGCUGGUCUGAGAGGAUGACCAGCCACACUGGAACUGAGACACGGUCCAGACUCCUACGGGAGGCAGCAGUGGGGAAUAUUGCACAAUGGGCGCAAGCCUGAUGCAGCCAUGCCGCGUGUAUGAAGAAGGCCUUCGGGUUGUAAAGUACUUUCAGCGGGGAGGAAGGUGUUGAGGUUAAUAACCUCAGCAAUUGACGUUACCCGCAGAAGAAGCACCGGCUAACUCCGUGCCAGCAGCCGCGGUAAUACGGAGGGUGCAAGCGUUAAUCGGAAUUACUGGGCGUAAAGCGCACGCAGGCGGUCUGUCAAGUCGGAUGUGAAAUCCCCGGGCUCAACCUGGGAACUGCAUUCGAAACUGGCAGGCUAGAGUCUUGUAGAGGGGGGUAGAAUUCCAGGUGUAGCGGUGAAAUGCGUAGAGAUCUGGAGGAAUACCGGUGG